GGGGCUGUGGUCUAGCACGGUAUGACGGCAAGGCGAUUAAGGGCUCCAGAGGCUUCAUUGAAGAAAAUAUGACCUUUGAGGGAUGAUUUUCUUCUGGAGCGGCUAGGCGGGGAAACCCGCAUGUCGGGGGUUCAAGUCCCUCCAGCCCCA
RNAcentral lists this transfer RNA (150 nucleotides) under Candidatus Methanosuratincola sp. RNAcentral describes it as "tRNA-OTHER". It matches the Rfam family "tRNA". Rfam says of the family: Transfer RNA (tRNA) molecules are approximately 80 nucleotides in length. Their secondary structure includes four short double-helical elements and three loops (D, anti-codon, and T loops). Further hydrogen bonds mediate the characteristic L-shaped molecular structure. tRNAs have two regions of fundamental functional importance: the anti-codon, which is responsible for specific mRNA codon recognition, and the 3' end, to which the tRNAs corresponding amino acid is attached (by aminoacyl-tRNA synthetases). tRNAs cope with the degeneracy of the genetic code in two manners: having more than one tRNA (with a specific anti-codon) for a particular amino acid; and 'wobble' base-pairing, i.e. permitting non-standard base-pairing at the 3rd anti-codon position. Lineage: Archaea; Thermoproteati; Thermoproteota; Methanosuratincolia; Candidatus Methanomethylicales; Candidatus Methanomethylicaceae. The record is from RNAcentral.